GGGGAUUUAGCUCAGUGGUAGAGCGCUUGCCUAGCAAGCGCAAGCGCAAGGCCCUGGGUUCAGUACCCAGCUCCG
Non-coding RNA from Rattus norvegicus (Norway rat), 75 nucleotides. The record is from Rfam. Lineage: Eukaryota; Metazoa; Chordata; Mammalia; Rodentia; Muridae.